AUGGACAUGAGGGCCCUUGCUCGGCUCCUUGGGAUCCUGUUAUUUUGGUUACCAGGUGCCAGAUGUGACAUCCAGAUGACCCAGUCUCCAUCCUCCCUGUCUGCAUCUCUAGGAGACAGAGUCACUAUCACUUGCCAGGCCAGUCAGAACGUUGGCUAUAGUUUAAACUGGUACCAACAGAAACCAGGGAAAGCUCCUAAGCGCCUGAUUUAUGGUGCAGAUAGCUUGGCAGAUGGGGUCCCAUCUAGGUUCAGUGGCAGUGGGUCUGGGACAGAUUUUUCUCUCACCAUCAGCAGCGUGGAGUCUGAAGACUUUGCAACUUAUUAUUGUCUGCAACAUUAUAGUACCCCUCCCACAGUGAUACAAGUCAUAACAUAA
Peromyscus eremicus (cactus mouse) is the source of this 378-nucleotide non-coding RNA. The record is from the annotation of a RefSeq genome assembly. NCBI's taxonomy places the organism in Eukaryota, Metazoa, Chordata, Mammalia, Rodentia, Cricetidae.